RNAcentral lists this ribosomal RNA (216 nucleotides) under Glomeromycotina sp. RNAcentral's name for it is "partial small subunit ribosomal RNA". The stretch from base 40 to 216 matches the Rfam family "Eukaryotic small subunit ribosomal RNA", at positions 686 to 864 of the family's 1831-position model. The record is from RNAcentral. Lineage: Eukaryota; Fungi; Glomeromycota.
GGGUCAGUAGGUUGGUCGUGCCACCGGUACGUACUGGUCUCACUGAUUCCUCCUUCCUGAGGAACCGUAAUGCCAUUAAUUUGGUGUUGCGGGGAAACAGGACUGUUACUUUGAAAAAAUUAGAGUGUUUAAAGCAAGCUAACGCUUGAAUACAUUAGCGUGGAAUAAUGAAAUAGGACGAUCGAUCCUAUUUUGUUGGUUUCUAGGAUUGACGUA